This 550-nucleotide long non-coding RNA is filed under the name Nicotiana benthamiana. Its description in RNAcentral is "long non-coding RNA (NBEN_LNC012009)". Lineage: Eukaryota; Viridiplantae; Streptophyta; Magnoliopsida; Solanales; Solanaceae. The record is from RNAcentral.
UGCCAUAUCUGGCCUGGAGUUGGGACCAUAUACUCUGUGCAGUGUCAGAGUACUGUACAGAUUCAGCAAUUGCAGGGGAGAGGGAAGCAGUCAACCAAGAAAUCACCAUGUUGUUGCACAUAUCCCACAACCUUUGUUGAGCCACAUUAGUGGCAGGUCGGGAGUAUGUGCCAUCAACAAAACCAAUUUUGUUUUUGGAUGAUAAGGCAACAAUCAUUUUACGUCUCCAGCCCCCAUAACCACUACCCGAGAAGGGAGUGGGAAUGAGAGAGACCCCAGGAACAUCAGAAGAAUAUACAAAAAGGGGACUGGAAGAGUCUACAGAAGAGGAGGCAGGAGACCCCAGGAACAUCAGAUGAAUAUACAAAAAGGGGACUGGAAGAGUCUAUAGAAGAGGAGGCACCAGUAUUUGUGUUAGAAGCCAUAGUCAAUGAACUGGCUUAAAAGAACAAUUUUUUCAACAAACAGAGUAUAACCAAAUCAGGUAUUCACACACAACAACCAACAAACAGAGUAUAACCAAAUCAGGUAUUCACAGACAACACCAGAU